UACAAAUGAAUCUCUAUUGCCUUACGUGAAGUUAUCACCUAAAAAACGCCCUCAGGCACCUAUUUACUAAUUCGUGAUUAUACCCUGACACAGCUUGUCUCAACAUUUGUUUUGCACGUCUUUGAGUCUGUUAAAGGAGCCAUCCUGCCAGAGAAAUUGAAAACUACGCGGACUUUUAAAAGUACUUUUUUUACGUCUACAAGGAUAAGGUCAAUUAUAAAGGCAAUGGAUAUCCUUGGUGGACGUUUGGUCAUUUUGGCCUCGCUACCGUUAACCAUAGUUUCCUCACAACUAAUGCCGCUUGGAAACUUCUUAAAGCAUCCGGGCGAGUUUCUAAAUGGACACUUGAUGAAGACCAUCACAGCUAAUCGAAUAGAUUGUUCGAUGGCAUGUGCAAAUCUGUUUGGAUGUCGUUCUGUUAAUAUUUAUAAAUAUAUCAAUGGAACAGAAAUGUGCGAAUUGAACGACUCGUCUAAGUCAUCAGCCCAUCCUGGAUCAAUGGUGUCUAGGACAGGAUACGACCAUUACGAACUCACGUCAAGAAACGGUUGCAGCACAGAAAUAUGUCUGGGAUCAAAGGAAUGGAAGAUAUUUAACUCUUCUCAAUUUCGACUCUUUGAAGACCGAGUAACCUGGGGUGAGGCCAGACACAAAUGUCGCGCACUGAAGGGGGACCUGGUAUCGAUUCAUAGUCAACA
Long non-coding RNA from Exaiptasia diaphana, 698 nucleotides. RefSeq lists it as uncharacterized. The record is from RefSeq and is a predicted model, not a curated record. The transcript is spliced from 3 exons. Lineage: Eukaryota; Metazoa; Cnidaria; Anthozoa; Actiniaria; Aiptasiidae.